Molecule: ribosomal RNA, 292 nt
Filed under: uncultured bacterium
Lineage: Bacteria
Description: partial 16S ribosomal RNA
Source: RNAcentral
GGACUACAGGGGUUUCUAAUCCUGUUUGCUACCCACGCUUUCGCGGCUCAGCGUCAGUUACCGUCCAGAUGGCCGCCUUCGCCACCGGUGUUCCGCCCCAUAUCUACGAAUUUCACCUCUACUUGGGGCAUUCCGCCAUCCUCUCCGGCACUCAAGCUCGAGAGUUUCGGGCGCACUUCCUCAGUUAAGCUGAGGGCUUUCACACCCGACUUUUCAAGCCGCCUACCCGCGCUUUACGCCCAAUAAUUCCGAACAACGCUUGCACCCUCUGUAUUACCGCGGCUGCUGGCAC